GACGAACACUGGCGGCGUGCUUAACACAUGCAAGUCGAACGAUGAAGCCGGAGCUUGCUCUGGUGAAUUAGUGGCGAACGGGUGAGUAACACGUGAGUAACCUGCCCUUGACUCUGGGAUAACUGCUAGAAAUGGUAGCUAAUACCGGAUACGACCCUCGGAGGCAUCUUCAGGGGGUGGAAAGAAUUUCGGUCAAGGAUGGACUCGCGGCCUAUCAGCUAGUUGGUGAGGUAAUGGCUCACCAAGGCGACGACGGGUAGCCGGCCUGAGAGGGUGACCGGCCACACUGGGACUGAGACACGGCCCAGACUCCUACGGGAGGCAGCAGUGGGGAAUAUUGCACAAUGGGCGCAAGCCUGAUGCAGCAACGCCGCGUGAGGGAUGACGGCCUUCGGGUUGUAAACCUCUUUUAGUAGGGAAGAAACGAAAGUGACGGUACCUGCAGAAAAAGCACCGGCUAACUACGUGCCAGCCGCCGCAGUAA
This 484-nucleotide ribosomal RNA is filed under the name uncultured bacterium. Its description in RNAcentral is "partial 16S ribosomal RNA". It matches the Rfam family "Bacterial small subunit ribosomal RNA", at positions 28 to 523 of the family's 1533-position model. The record is from RNAcentral.